UUAAAUUUUUUUUUUUUUUUUUUUUUUUAGUUUUAGUUUUUUAAUUUUUUAUUUAAUUUUAGCUCCCCCACUAUAUUACAAUUCCAAGGGACGGUGAUAAAGAAUGAACUGGGGGGGGAGCAUUAAACAUUAAUGAUCCUCUAUUCACAUGGAAGCUCCUUUGGACAAAGAGCUGCCUACCAACCAGGGUAAGUCAACUUUUCAAGUCUGAUUUCUGAGGAAGAAACUGCACAACAGGUCAUCUGAUGACGUUUAACUGGUCAUCUGACAAAGGGGAUCUGAAAUUAUAAAAAGGCUUCUCGCAAGAGCUAAAAAAGAGAGAGGAAGAAGACGACUAGAAGCAGAAGUGAAAGAAGACUCCAUGCUUUGGUGAAAAAGCCAUGUACUGGAGAAAGUUGUGAAAUUUAUGCUAAGAAGAGUUUAUUGUUGCCGGGACACCUUGAGGGUCUCUGAUCUAAGGCCAAAGCAGCAGAGAUGAAACUAAGGCAACUGAACAUACUCCUUCCAUUCUUCUUUACUGACACCUUUGAGCUCCUUGACUGGCAUCUCUGCCUAGAGACCACCAGCAUGCAAUGGAUCUUGAUUGGGUCAGGUCGGAGAGAAGAAAAACCGGACAGAGAAGACACCAACUAGACACAACGUGAAGGGCCUGAUCUACACAAUGUGAACCCUGAUCUACACAUAGCUGAUAGACUAGCAUCCUAAAAGGUAACAGACUUUGUGUUCUCCAGUAUCACUGAGGUGUGAACGAGCAUUGUGCAAUUAGAGCAGUUUUAAUACGUUAUUUCUUGUCCAAACUCGCAAUACCAAAGAAUCAAGAAACAUGGUGAAAGACACAACA
Molecule: long non-coding RNA, 841 nt
Organism: Alligator sinensis (Chinese alligator)
Lineage: Eukaryota; Metazoa; Chordata; Crocodylia; Alligatoridae
Exons: 3
Source: RefSeq, a predicted model, not a curated record